GGUGUGGGCGCAGUGGCAGAGCACCUGCUUUGCAUGCAGAAGGUCCCAGGUUCAAUCCACAGCAUAUCCA
This is a non-coding RNA of Podarcis lilfordi (Lilford's wall lizard), 70 nucleotides long. The record is from the annotation of a GenBank genome assembly. NCBI's taxonomy places the organism in Eukaryota, Metazoa, Chordata, Lepidosauria, Squamata, Lacertidae.